CAGUGGGGAAUAUUGGACAAUGGGGGCAACCCUGAUCCAGCCAUGCCGCGUGAGUGAUGAAGGCCUUCGGGUUGUAAAGCUCUUUUGGCGGGGACGAUGAUGACGGUACCCGCAGAAUAAGCCCCGGCUAACUUCGUGCCAGCAGCCGCGGUAAGACGAAGGGGGCAAGCGUUGUUCGGAAUUACUGGGCGUAAAGCGCGUGUAGGUGGUCAUUCUAGUCAGGCGUGAAAGCCUCGAGCUCAACUCGAGAAAUGCGCUUGAUACUGGAUGACUAGAGGACCGGAGAGGAUAGUGGAAUUCCCAGUGUAGUGGUGAAAUACGUAGAGAUUGGGAAGAACACCAGUGGCGAAGGCGGCUAUCUGGACGGUUUCUGACACUAAGACGCGAAAGCGUGGGGAGCAAACAGGAUUAGA
This 413-nucleotide ribosomal RNA is filed under the name uncultured bacterium. RNAcentral's name for it is "bacterial SSU rRNA". It matches the Rfam family "Bacterial small subunit ribosomal RNA", at positions 352 to 782 of the family's 1533-position model. The record is from RNAcentral.